GUAUGCAUGGUAUGAGUAUUGUAGUAAAAGUGACUUGAAGUGAUCCUCUGCUUCAUGAAAGGAUUCAGUAUUCUUUUGAUAAAAGUUAGAAAUUUCAGCCCUUAAUUC
Ricinus communis (castor bean) is the source of this 108-nucleotide non-coding RNA. NCBI's taxonomy places the organism in Eukaryota, Viridiplantae, Streptophyta, Magnoliopsida, Malpighiales, Euphorbiaceae. The record is from Rfam.